AUUGAACGCUGGCGGCAUGCCUAACACAUGCAAGUCGAGCGAGGUGUAGCAAUACAUCUAGCGGCGGACGGGUGAGGAAUACAUAGGAAUUUGCCUUUAAGUGGGGGAUAGCCCGGGGAAACUCGGAGUAAUACCGCAUGAUGUCGAAAGACCAAAGCAGGGGACCGCAAGGCCUUGCGCUUUUAGAGAAGCCUAUGUCGGAUUAGCUAGUUGGUGAGGUAAUGGCNCACCAAGGCAACGAUCCGUAGCUGGUUUGAGAGAACGAUCAGCCACACCGGAACUGAGACACGGUCCGGACUCCUACGGGAGGCAGCAGUGGGGAAUAUUGGACAAUGGGCGAAAGCCUGAUCCAGCAAUGCCGCGUGUGUGAAGAAGGCCUCGG
Molecule: ribosomal RNA, 382 nt
Filed under: uncultured bacterium
Lineage: Bacteria
Description: bacterial SSU rRNA
Rfam family: Bacterial small subunit ribosomal RNA
Source: RNAcentral